CUGGCUCAGGAUGAACGCUGGCGGCGUGCCUAACACAUGCAAGUCGAACGGAGAAUUUACGCUGACGAGACUUCGGUCAAAUCUUGUAAAUUCUUAGUGGCGGACGGGUGAGUAACGCGUGGGCAACCUGCCUCAUACUGGGGGAUAGCAGUUGGAAACGACUGAUAAUACCGCAUAAGCGCACAGCAUCGCAUGAUGCAGUGUGAAA
RNAcentral lists this ribosomal RNA (208 nucleotides) under Butyrivibrio sp. INlla21. RNAcentral's name for it is "16S rRNA. Bacterial SSU". It matches the Rfam family "Bacterial small subunit ribosomal RNA", at positions 19 to 204 of the family's 1533-position model. The record is from RNAcentral. Lineage: Bacteria; Bacillati; Bacillota; Clostridia; Lachnospirales; Lachnospiraceae.